Molecule: ribosomal RNA, 510 nt
Filed under: uncultured bacterium
Lineage: Bacteria
Description: partial 16S ribosomal RNA
Rfam family: Bacterial small subunit ribosomal RNA
Source: RNAcentral
GACGAACGCUGGCGGCGUGCUUAACACAUGCAAGUCGAACGAAGAGCGAUGGAAGCUUGCUUCUAUCAAUCUUAGUGGCGAACGGGUGAGUAACGCGUAAUCAACCUGCCCUUCAGAGGGGGACAACAGUUGGAAACGACUGCUAAUACCGCAUACGAUCUAAUCUCGGCAUCGAGGAUAGAUGAAAGGUGGCCUCUACAUGUAAGCUAUCACUGAAGGAGGGGAUUGCGUCUGAUUAGCUAGCUGGGGGGGUAACGGCCCACCAAGGCGAUGAUCAGUAGCCGGUCUGGGGGGAUGAACGGCCACAUUGGGACUGAGACCCGGCCCAGACUCCUACGGGAGGCAGCAGUGGGGAAUCUUCCGCAAUGGACGAAAGUCUGACGGAGCAACGCCGCGUGAGUGAUGACGGCCUUCGGGUUGUAAAGCUCUGUUAAUCGGGACGAAAGGCCUUCUUGCGAACAGUUAGAAGGAUUGACGGUACCGGAAUAGAAAGCCACGGCUAACUACGUG